Molecule: ribosomal RNA, 102 nt
Filed under: Thiobacillus sp. SCN 63-57
Lineage: Bacteria; Pseudomonadati; Pseudomonadota; Betaproteobacteria; Nitrosomonadales; Thiobacillaceae
Description: partial 16S ribosomal RNA
Rfam family: Bacterial small subunit ribosomal RNA
Source: RNAcentral
AGAGAUUGAACUGAAGAGUUUGAUCCUGGCUCAGAUUGAACGCUGGCGGAAUGCUUUACACAUGCAAGUCGAACGGCAGCACGGGAGCUUGCUCCUGGUGGC